RNAcentral lists this ribosomal RNA (1971 nucleotides) under human gut metagenome. RNAcentral describes it as "bacterial LSU rRNA". It matches the Rfam family "Bacterial large subunit ribosomal RNA", at positions 1 to 2005 of the family's 2925-position model. The record is from RNAcentral.
UUAAGUGAAUAAGGGCGCACGGAGGAUGCCUUGGCACUAGGAGUCGAAGAAGGACGCGACAAACGGCGAAACGCCUCGGGGAGCUGUAAGUGAGCAUUGAUCCGGGGGUAUCCGAAUGGGGAAACCCGCUAGUGGUUAUACGCUAGCACCAUAUGGUGAAUACAUAGCCAUAUAGGAGACAGACCCAGGGAACUGAAACAUCUAAGUACCUGGAGGAAAAGAAAGAAAAAUCGAUUCCCGUAGUAGCGGCGAGCGAAGUGGGAAGAGCCCAAACCGGAUUUAUCCGGGGUUGUAGGACCUUCAUAAUUGACAAAUCAUGAUAGCCGAAUGGUCUGGGAAGGCCAACCGUAGGGGGUGAGAGUCCCGUAGGUGAAAUUGUGAGAUGCAUGGAAGGAAUCCUGAGUACGGCGGGACACGUGGAAUCCCGUCGGAAUCAACGAGGACCAUCUCGUAAGGCUAAAUACUACCUAGUGACCGAUAGUGAACCAGUACCGUGAGGGAAAGGUGAAAAGAACCCCGGAAGGGGAGUGAAAGAGAACCUGAAACCGUGUGCCUACAAAUAGUCAGAGCCCGUUAAUGGGUGAUGGCGUGCCUUUUGUAGAAUGAACCGGCGAGUUACGAUAUCGUGCGAGGUUAAGCAGAAGAUGCGGAGCCGUAGCGAAAGCGAGUCUGAAUAGGGCGAAGAGUACGAUGUUGUAGACCCGAAACCGUGUGAGCUAGCCAUGAGCAGGCUGAAGGUCAGGUAACACUGACUGGAGGGCCGAACCAGGGCACGUUGAAAAGUGCUUGGAUGACUUGUGGCUAGGGGUGAAAUUCCAAUCGAACACGGAUAUAGCUGGUUCUCUCCGAAAUAGCUUUAGGGCUAGCCUCGAUGUUAAGUCUACUGGAGGUAGAGCACUGAAUGGGUGAUGGCCCCACCUCGGGGUACUGAUCUCAAUCAAACUCCGAAUGCCAGAUAGAUAUAAUCGGGAGUCAGACUGUGGGUGAUAAGGUCCAUGGUCAAAAGGGAAAGAGCCCAGACCGCCAGCUAAGGCCCCCAAGUGUCCGUUAAGUGGAAAAGGAUGUGGAGAUGCACAGACAACUAGGAGGUUGGCUUAGAAGCAGCCAUCCUUUAAAGAGUGCGUAAUAGCUCACUAGUCGAGUGACUCUGCGCCGAAAAUGUACCGGGGCUAAACGGACCGCCGAAGCUGCGGAUUGACUUUAGAGUCAGUGGUAGGAGAGCGUUCUAACAGCGGUGAAGCAGUACCGGAAGGAGCUGUGGAGCGGUUAGAAGUGAGAAUGCCGGUGUGAGUAGCGAAAGAUAGGUGAGAAUCCUAUCCAUCGAAAGCCUAAGGUUUCCAGGGGAAGGCUCGUCCGCCCUGGGUAAGUCGGGACCUAAGGUGAGGCCGAAAGGCGUAGCCGAUGGACAACAGGUUGAUAUUCCUGUACCACUUAUUAAACUGAUGGAGUGACGGAGAAGGCUAAGUUGAGCGUGUGAUUGGAUUCACGUGUAAGCAGUGAGGUGGUCAUGUAGGCAAAUCCGCAUGGCAUAACAUUGAGCUGUGAUGCCGAAGCCGAAUGGCGAAGUCAACUGACGUCACGCUUCCAAGAAAAGCUUCUAGGGUUAAUUUAAUAAGUGCCCGUACCGAUAACCGACACAGGUAGGCGAGGAGAGAAUCCUAAGAUGAGCGAGAGAACUCUUGUUAAGGAACUCGGCAAAAUGACCCCGUAACUUCGGGAGAAGGGGUGCUUGUGAAAGCAAGCCGCAGUGAAUAGGCCCAGGCGACUGUUUAUCAAAAACACAGGUCUCUGCUAAACCGCAAGGUGAUGUAUAGGGGCUGACGCCUGCCCGGUGCUGGAAGGUUAAGAGGAGAGGUUAGCGCAAGCGAAGCUUUGAAUUGAAGCCCCAGUAAACGGCGGCCGUAACUAUAACGGUCCUAAGGUAGCGAAAUUCCUUGUCGGGUAAGUUCCGACCCGCACGAAAGGCGUAAC